Molecule: ribosomal RNA, 365 nt
Filed under: Nolanea strictior
Lineage: Eukaryota; Fungi; Basidiomycota; Agaricomycetes; Agaricales; Entolomataceae
Description: partial mitochondrial large subunit ribosomal RNA
Rfam family: Bacterial large subunit ribosomal RNA
Source: RNAcentral
AAAUUAUCCUCAUAAGUUAGACGAAAAGAGGAACCGCACAUUGAUAAAUAAAAUAAAAUUUAUAAGUCAUAAGCGGUGGCACAUAAUCGGAGGCCCCGACUGUUUACUAAAAACACAACACAGUGCAAUCAUUAAUAUGAUAGUAUACUGUGUGAAAUUUGCCCAAUGCCAUAAACAUAAGAUAAUUUAUGUAAAGUAAAUUAUUGAAAGUGUGGUUAAUAGCGGUCUUAACUAUGAGGAUCCUAAGGUAGCAAAAUAAAUUGGCCAUUAAAUGUGGUCGAGUAUCAAUAAUGUAACGAUGGCCUCACUGUCUCUACAACUUGCUCAGUGAAAUUGAAUUACGCGUGCAGAUGCGCGUUGCCUUC